Molecule: long non-coding RNA, 1256 nt
Filed under: Ananas comosus (pineapple)
Lineage: Eukaryota; Viridiplantae; Streptophyta; Magnoliopsida; Poales; Bromeliaceae
Description: long non-coding RNA (ACOM_LNC029636)
Source: RNAcentral
AUCUAUUUCUACAUAAUUUUUUUUUGUUUAUUUUUAGACUAAAUUACAAAAAAUCUUUCUGUCCAUAGCCGCUUUUUCACUUUUUCAGGGUAUUUUUUUACUUUUUUUUUCUGUCAUUUAAAAACCUACACUUUACCCCUUAAAAAUGAGAAAUGUUCACAGGGGGUACACCAUGAUGAAAUGACCAAAAUGCCCCUCACCAUCUUCGUCUUCUCCCCCAACCUCGCUCAAUCAUCGCCCCUCCUCUUUCGUUCUUCGAGCCUCGCUCAACCGCAGCUCCGACUCCAUUUUCCUCCACAUACUCCCCCGCUCUUCCUGCGCUCGCGUUGCCCCUCCAUUUCGGCGACAAUAGGGAGGAGAUCGGAGUGGGCAUGAACGGAGAGACGUGCGAGGGCGAGGGCAAGACGGCGAAGGAGCACGAGAGCAUGUGUGUGGAUACGAAUCGAGGGGGCGAGGGCGAGGCGGCGGUGUAGGGCGGCGAGAAAGGAGGCGGCAGGGAGGAAAGGGUAUUUUGGGUAUAAAAAAUAUAUAAUAAUAGGAUAUAAACGGAACCCUAACGGAAUACUGACCGCGGGGGACCAAAGUGAACAUUUCUCAUUUUUCAAUGGGGUAAAGUGUAGGUUUUUAAAUGACCGAAGGAAAGUGAAAAAGCGGGUAUUGACAAUGAGGUUUCCUGUAAUUUAGCCUUAUUUUUAAUUAUGCCACUACAGUUAGAAUUCAUUAAAAAUAUACAAUUAAUCAUAAAUAAAAUAUUUAAUUCUAAUUAGUGAAUGAGGUAAAUUGAUAUUUUUACCCUCUUAUUGAUGGUAGAAAGGAAGAACAUCACUGUUGGAGAUUUUUGGAUGGAUAUUUUUGAAUAAUUCUAACAGUUUUGACUUUUGGAGAAAUAUAUUUGUGAUGGCAAAAAUAUAAUUUUAUUUUUUUUGUUAAAAAAUAAAUGAUACUCUAAGGGCGUGUUUGGUUCGCUUUUUUUUCACCCUGGAAUCGGAAUGGGAAUGGGUAAAUUCGUUUGUGGGUGUUUGGUACGCGGGAGUCCCAUUCCGAUUUCGAUUCCCGAGUGGAAUGGGAAUCCCCCAAUCACCUCUUUUUCAAUCCGGUCUAGGAGGCCGGAUUGAAAGUUGAAUCCGGACGGAAUGGAUAUUUAUUCGGAUUAAAUUUAUUUUUUUAAUUUUUUUAAUUAAAAUAUGAGUUAAAAUUUAAAAAUUAAAUAUAUAAUUUUAAAUUUUAAUUUAAACCUAAAUUAAAAAUUAAAAUUU